Molecule: ribosomal RNA, 253 nt
Filed under: uncultured bacterium
Lineage: Bacteria
Description: partial 16S ribosomal RNA
Rfam family: Bacterial small subunit ribosomal RNA
Source: RNAcentral
UACGUAGGCAGCGAGCGUUGUUCGGAGUUACUGGGCGUAAAGGGUGUGUAGGCGGUCGUUUAAGUUUGGUGUGAAAUCUCCCGGCUCAACUGGGAGGGUGCGCCGAAUACUGAAUGACUAGAGUGUGGGAGAGGUGAGUGGAAUUCCUGGUGUAGCGGUGAAAUGCGUAGAUAUCAGGAGGAACACCGGUGGUGUAGACGGCUCACUGGACCAUAACUGACGCUGAGACACGAAAGCGUGGGUAGCAAACAGG